GCCAGGCAUGGUGGCAUGGGCCUAUAGUCUUAGCUACUCAGGCUGCUGAGACAGGAGGAUCGUUCACCACCAGGAGUUCUGGGCUGUAGUGCGGUGCGCUAUGCUGAUAACGUGCCCACACUAAGUUCAGCAUCAAUAUGGUGACCUCCUGGGAGCAGGGAACCACCAGGUUGCUUAAGGAGACGGUGAGCUGGCUCAGGUCAGAAACAGAACAGGUCAAAACUCCCAUGCUAUCUGUAGUGGGAUUAUGCCUGUGGUAGCCGCUGUACUCCAGCCUGGACAACAUAGCAAGACACCAUCUCU
RNAcentral lists this signal recognition particle RNA (303 nucleotides) under Propithecus coquereli (Coquerel's sifaka). RNAcentral describes it as "Metazoan signal recognition particle RNA (ENSPCOG00000002213.1)". It matches the Rfam family "Metazoan signal recognition particle RNA". From Rfam's summary of the family: The signal recognition particle (SRP) is a universally conserved ribonucleoprotein. It is involved in the co-translational targeting of proteins to membranes. The eukaryotic SRP consists of a 300-nucleotide 7S RNA and six proteins: SRPs 72, 68, 54, 19, 14, and 9. The record is from RNAcentral. Lineage: Eukaryota; Metazoa; Chordata; Mammalia; Primates; Indriidae.